RNAcentral lists this non-coding RNA (32 nucleotides) under Geobacter sulfurreducens KN400. The record is from RNAcentral. Lineage: Bacteria; Pseudomonadati; Thermodesulfobacteriota; Desulfuromonadia; Geobacterales; Geobacteraceae.
GGUGUGGUCGCCAGGACCGCCGGAUUGAUCGG